CGGAAAGCCCAAAGACAGCCCUCC
RNAcentral lists this non-coding RNA (24 nucleotides) under Arabidopsis thaliana (thale cress). Lineage: Eukaryota; Viridiplantae; Streptophyta; Magnoliopsida; Brassicales; Brassicaceae. The record is from RNAcentral.